This 235-nucleotide ribosomal RNA is filed under the name uncultured bacterium. Its description in RNAcentral is "partial 16S ribosomal RNA". It matches the Rfam family "Bacterial small subunit ribosomal RNA", at positions 103 to 334 of the family's 1533-position model. The record is from RNAcentral.
CGGGUGAGUAACACGUAUGCAAUCCACCUGUAACAGGGGGAUAACCCGGAGAAAUCCGGACUAAUACCCCAUAAUAUGGGCGCUCCGCAUGGAGAGUCCAUUAAAGAGAGCAAUCUUGAUUACAGACGAGCAUGCGCUCCAUUAGCCAGUUGGCGGGGUAACGGCCCACCAAGGCGACGAUGGAUAGGGGUUCUGAGAGGAAGGUCCCCCACAUUGGAACUGAGACACGGUCCAA